This 678-nucleotide unclassified non-coding RNA is filed under the name Hevea brasiliensis (rubber tree). The record is from RNAcentral. Lineage: Eukaryota; Viridiplantae; Streptophyta; Magnoliopsida; Malpighiales; Euphorbiaceae.
AACAAAAUUUACAUUCAUGGCAGAUUAGCAUCAUCAGGAACUAGAGCUCUCUACGAAACAAUGACGAUGACGAUAUGUGAUCAUCUACAACGAGGGAAGGGGAUAGGGUACUAAAUCUCCACUCUUCUCUCCUCUUAUUCUUGUAUUUCCUCUUCUAAAGAAAGGGUUGGAAGGAACAGGAAGGAGGCUAGCUGGGAUAUAGCUUUUGGUUGUAUCUCAGUAAACAUAAAUGGGGACGUCAAGUCAACCAGGCUACUGAUUCAAAAUUUUCCGGUAAAAUGUCGAAGCACCAAAUCACUCAUGGCGGCACCCACAGAUUGUAAUGCGUGAAACCAUCCUCCCGAUUUCAUUUGGUUGCUGCAACAACCAGCGCUUGCUUAAAACUUUUCCUCCUACAAAGCAAGAAAAUCCACCUCAUCUGAGCUCUCCUCAAAUAUUACAUAGCUGGCAUCUCGACCAUCCUCAUUUCCACUGCCUUGAUCGCUAUUAUAGCUGCUUUCUGAAGAACUUAUAAACAUCGAAUCAGAUGUGUCACCGCUCAGCUGUGUUGGCAAACUAACGUCACUAUUUACUUCGCUUUCCAGCAUCUGUUCAAUUUCAAAGUAACUUCCUUCUGACGGAAAGUCAGCCAGCAAGCAUACAUCAGGCCUUUCCCUCAUUACUUGCUCAAUUGGAAUG